UACGGAGGGUGCAAGCGUUAUCCGGAUUCACUGGGUUUAAAGGGUGCGUAGGUGGGUCUGUAAGUCCGUGGUGAAAUCUCCGAGCUUAACUUGGAAACUGCCAUGGAUACUAUAGGUCUUGAAUACUGUGGAGGUCAGCGGAAUAUGUCAUGUAGCGGUGAAGUGCUUAGAUAUGACAUAGAACACCAAUUGCGAAGGCAGCUGGCUACACAAAUAUUGACACUGAUGCACGAAAGCGUGGGGAUCAAACAGG
This 253-nucleotide ribosomal RNA is filed under the name uncultured bacterium. RNAcentral's name for it is "partial 16S ribosomal RNA". It matches the Rfam family "Bacterial small subunit ribosomal RNA", at positions 524 to 776 of the family's 1533-position model. The record is from RNAcentral.